AUGACUGUACAAAGGAUUCAUCAACAAAAACAGCUUGAGAAGAAUGAAAUUACAACCACAAGAUUAUAUAGAAAGCAAAUGGCACUCAUGGCAAAGACUUCUUCAAAAAUCAACAAGUUUAAAAGGCAAAGUAAUAAUCCCAUCACAGAAACCAAAUGUUCAAAAGAUUGUGAUGAUGUACCAAUUUAUAAAGACAGUCCAGAAAGAUCAUCAAGCUCCGAACAACAAAUUUUCAAAAAACCUCAAGAUAUUGAUCAUACUGCAAAAGAGAUUGAAAACCAGUUUUAUAAGGAUUAUAAUAAUAAGGGACAUCCAGUGCCAAAAGCUCCAUGA
This is a non-coding RNA of Vicia faba (fava bean), 333 nucleotides long. The record is from the annotation of a GenBank genome assembly. NCBI's taxonomy places the organism in Eukaryota, Viridiplantae, Streptophyta, Magnoliopsida, Fabales, Fabaceae.